Molecule: ribosomal RNA, 431 nt
Filed under: uncultured bacterium
Lineage: Bacteria
Description: bacterial SSU rRNA
Rfam family: Bacterial small subunit ribosomal RNA
Source: RNAcentral
GUGGGGAAUAUUGCGCAAUGGGGGAAACCCUGACGCAGCAACGCCGCGUGAGUGAUGAAGGUCUUCGGAUCGUAAAGCUCUGUCGGCAGGAACGAUGGGCAAUCUGGCUAAUACCCAGGAUGCUUGACGGUACCUGCAAAGGAAGCACCGGCUAACUCUGUGCCAGCAGCCGCGGUAAUACAGAGGGUGCAAGCGUUGUUCGGAAUUAUUGGGCGUAAAGGGCGCGUAGGCGGUCUGUCAAGUCGAAUGUGAAAGCCCAGGGCUCAACCUUGGAAGUGCAUCCGAAACUGGCAGACUAGAAUCUCGGAGAGGGUGGUGGAAUUCCCAGUGUAGAGGUGAAAUUCGUAGAUAUUGGGAGGAACACCGGUGGCGAAGGCGACCGCCUGGACGAAGAUUGACGCUGAGGCGCGAAAGCGUGGGUAGCAAACAGG